RNAcentral lists this ribosomal RNA (69 nucleotides) under Schmidingerella taraikaensis. RNAcentral describes it as "partial Bacterial small subunit ribosomal RNA". Lineage: Eukaryota; Ciliophora; Spirotrichea; Tintinnida; Rhabdonellidae. The record is from RNAcentral.
UUGAGAGUUUGAUCCUGGCUCAGAACGAACGCUGGCGGCAGGCCUAACACAUGCAAGUCGAGCGCUACC